Molecule: long non-coding RNA, 320 nt
Organism: Engraulis encrasicolus (European anchovy)
Lineage: Eukaryota; Metazoa; Chordata; Actinopteri; Clupeiformes; Engraulidae
Exons: 3
Source: RefSeq, a predicted model, not a curated record
CUUCACGUGCAGUUCAGUUAAGUUCUACUUGGAGCAGGGAGCACAUACUCAGCUCUGCUGCUCCAGUUGAGUUAUUACCUCAGGAUGAUUGCAUGUGAGAAGUUUGUGUGCGUGCCUUUCCACCAAGUUUGAAACCCAGACAGCACGAAGCAUCUUGCCGACGUCAAAAUCAGAUCAACAGACAGGGACAUCAGCCUUCUCUUGGGAAUAGGCCAGAUAUGCCAUAACAAGAAAUGGUGUUUUGCCCCUGCGGUUGUGAAGAGGAUGCUGUGGAGGUGGCAGCAUGAACGUGUCACACAGACAUUGGCUAAACUACUCGG